RNAcentral lists this microRNA precursor (78 nucleotides) under Trichobilharzia regenti. RNAcentral describes it as "mir-3492 microRNA precursor family". It matches the Rfam family "mir-3492 microRNA precursor family". The record is from Rfam by way of RNAcentral. Lineage: Eukaryota; Metazoa; Platyhelminthes; Trematoda; Strigeidida; Schistosomatidae.
AGCCUUCUGUAUCUGUGCAGAGAUUUCGUCAGCGGUCAACCCAUAGGGGCUGAUGUAACUCCUUAAACAAGUUAAGUA